This 292-nucleotide ribosomal RNA is filed under the name uncultured bacterium. Its description in RNAcentral is "partial 16S ribosomal RNA". It matches the Rfam family "Bacterial small subunit ribosomal RNA", at positions 505 to 796 of the family's 1533-position model. The record is from RNAcentral.
GUGUCAGCAGCCGCGGUAAGACGUAGGGGGCGAGCGUUGUCCGGAUUCAUUGGGCGUAAAGCGCGCGCAGGCGGCUUGGUUAGUCGGAUGUGAAAAUCCGGGGCUCAACCCCGGACCUGCAUCCGAUACUGCCAGGCUAGAGGCAGGUAGGGGAGAUCGGAAUUCCUGGUGUAGCGGUGAAAUGCGCAGAUAUCAGGAGGAACACCGGUGGCGAAGGCGGAUCUCUGGGCCUGUCCUGACGCUCAGGCGCGAAAGCUAGGGGAGCAAACAGGAUUAGAAACCCUGGUAGUCC